Molecule: ribosomal RNA, 198 nt
Filed under: uncultured bacterium
Lineage: Bacteria
Description: partial 16S ribosomal RNA
Rfam family: Bacterial small subunit ribosomal RNA
Source: RNAcentral
ACGCUCGACACCUACGGAAGGCAGCAGUGGGGAAUAUUGCACAAUGGGGGAAACCCUGAUGCAGCGACGCCGCGUGAAGGAAGAAGUAUCUCGGUAUGUAAACUUCUAUCAGCAGGGAAGAAAAUGACGGUACCUGACUAAGAAGCCCCGGCUAACUACGUGCCAGAAGCCGCGGUAAUCUGAGCGGGCUGGCAAGGC